RNAcentral lists this ribosomal RNA (509 nucleotides) under uncultured bacterium. RNAcentral describes it as "bacterial SSU rRNA". It matches the Rfam family "Bacterial small subunit ribosomal RNA", at positions 29 to 536 of the family's 1533-position model. The record is from RNAcentral.
AAUGAACGCUGGCGGCGUGCCUAACACAUGCAAGUCGAGCGUGAAAGCCCCUUCGGGGGCAAGUAAAGCGGCGGACGGGUGAGUAACGCGUGAGAAUCUGCCCUUUAGUGAAGAAUACCUUCGAGAAAUCGAAGUUAAUGCCGCAUACGUCCCUUCGGGGAGAAAGAUGGCCUCUUGCUGUCGCUAAAGGAUGAGCUUGCGUACUAUUAGCUUGCUGGUAGGGUAAAGGCCUACCAAGGCGAUGAUGGUUAGCCGACCUGAGAGGGUGAUCGGCCACACUGGAACUUAGACACGGUCCAGACUCCUACGGGAGGCAGCAGUGGGGAAUAUUGCGCAAUGGGCGAAAGCCUGACGCAGCAACGCCGCGUGAAGGAUGAAGGUCUUCGGAUUGUAAACUUCUGUUAAGUGGGAAGAAAAGUCCGUUUAUAAUACAGACGGGAAAUGACGGUACCAUUAGAGAAAGCACCGGCUAACUUCGUGCCAGCAGCCGCGGUAAUACGAGGGGUGCG